RNAcentral lists this ribosomal RNA (229 nucleotides) under uncultured bacterium. Its description in RNAcentral is "partial 16S ribosomal RNA". It matches the Rfam family "Bacterial small subunit ribosomal RNA", at positions 568 to 796 of the family's 1533-position model. The record is from RNAcentral.
UGCGUAGGCGGAAUGAUAAGUUAGUGGUGAAAGCCCCCGGCUCAACCGGGGAACUGCCAUUAAUACUGUCAUUCUUGAGUAUAGUUGAAGUGGGCGGAAUGUAUCAUGUAGCGGUGAAAUGCUUAGAUAUGAUACAGAACACCGAUAGCGUAGGCAGCUUGCUAAACUAUAACUGACGCUCAGGCACGAAAGCGUGGGGAGCAAACAGGAUUAGAUACCCUGGUAGUCC